This 594-nucleotide long non-coding RNA is filed under the name Calidris pygmaea (Spoon-billed sandpiper). Its description in RNAcentral is "lncRNA (ENSCPGG00000004734.1)". The record is from RNAcentral. Lineage: Eukaryota; Metazoa; Chordata; Aves; Charadriiformes; Scolopacidae.
GCGGGCACUUUAGACCCACAUCGCAGCUGCAGCCUGUAGGACACUUCUGCCUCCUCGUAGAGACGUUAGGUGAGUCCAGAGGCUGCUGUUCCUUUUCAUUAGAAGCUGGUCUUUCUUCUCCUGCAAAAAGGAGAAACCAUUAAUGUAAAUCUGUUCCUCUAACUCUUUGUAUAAAGUGGAACUCCUCGGUUUAGAAAGGCGCAGAGUAUACUCUUGCAUUAUUCUUUCAUUUGUCUAAAGGAAACACUGAAUUAAAAUUCUCAGCUUUGGUAUAAUUAACAUCUCCUUUACCACAUUUUCCCCUGCGCUCCUGCCCCACAGAUCCAGCUGUUUGAGUUCUUUGAGAAAGCAGCAGCUCAGGAGUUCAUCUUUGACCAUAUAAACUGUGGUCCAAGAAGAUUUAGACAGCACGGCAACUCCUCUGUUAGACAUCAGUUUUGGAAACAUCACCUGCACACAGGUAAGAUUAGCUUAAUUUCUCAGGUUUUCCUUUUUUGUUAUUCCUACGUUUGACUUAGGAAAAAAAUCUUACUUGUUAAGCUGACGGAAAAAAAAAGCAUAAGGCCAUAGAAAAACACUUUGCAAAUUUUAAUC